RNAcentral lists this transfer RNA (62 nucleotides) under Mantoniella antarctica. The record is from RNAcentral. Lineage: Eukaryota; Viridiplantae; Chlorophyta; Mamiellophyceae; Mamiellales; Mamiellaceae.
AAGGUGUGGGGCAAGACAGGGUCCAAGCUGUAUGGAAAGACCAAUGGCUCGGAUUUCGCAGA